This 322-nucleotide ribosomal RNA is filed under the name uncultured Prevotella sp. Its description in RNAcentral is "bacterial SSU rRNA". It matches the Rfam family "Bacterial small subunit ribosomal RNA", at positions 28 to 339 of the family's 1533-position model. The record is from RNAcentral. Lineage: Bacteria; Pseudomonadati; Bacteroidota; Bacteroidia; Bacteroidales; Prevotellaceae.
GAUGAACGCUAGCUACAGGCUUAACACAUGCAAGUCGAGGGGUAGCAGGAGAGAAGCUUGCUUUUCUUGCUGACGACCGGCGCACGGGUGAGUAACGCGUAUCCAACCUGCCCAUGGGUUAGGAAUAAACUCCCGAAAGGGAGCCUAAUACCUGAUGUUGUGAGAAGAAGGCCUCUGAUUUUCACGAAAGACUUCGGUCGCCGAUGGAUGGGGAUGCGUACGAUUAGGCAGCAGGCGGGGUAACGGCCCACCUGGCCAACGAUCGUUAGGGGUUCUGAGAGGAAGGUCCCCCACACUGGUACUGAGACACGGACCAGACUCC